UACGAACUGUGCGAACGUUAUUCGGAAUCACUGGGCUUACAGGGUGCGUAGGCGGCUAUUCAGGUCAGGUGUGAAAGCCCCCGGCUCAACCGGGGAACUGCGCUUGAAACCGAGUGGCUCGAGUCAGCUAGAGGUACACGGAACUUCCAGUGGAGCGGUGAAAUGUGUUGAUAUUGGAAGGAACACCGGAGGCGAAAGCGGUGUACUGGGGCUGGUCUGACGCCGAGGCACGAAAGCCAGGGGAGCGAACGGG
This 253-nucleotide ribosomal RNA is filed under the name uncultured bacterium. Its description in RNAcentral is "partial 16S ribosomal RNA". It matches the Rfam family "Bacterial small subunit ribosomal RNA", at positions 524 to 776 of the family's 1533-position model. The record is from RNAcentral.